GGUGCGGUGUAGUGCAUUCUGGUAGUUGAAGGUUUUCUAGCUUUUGAGCGAAUGGGAAUAUCAUAGCUUCUUUUCUGCUCAUGUAAUAC
Long non-coding RNA from Etheostoma cragini (Arkansas darter), 89 nucleotides. RefSeq lists it as uncharacterized. The record is from RefSeq and is a predicted model, not a curated record. Lineage: Eukaryota; Metazoa; Chordata; Actinopteri; Perciformes; Percidae. The transcript has 3 exons.